This is a non-coding RNA of Tetranychus urticae (two-spotted spider mite), 3020 nucleotides long. Lineage: Eukaryota; Metazoa; Arthropoda; Arachnida; Trombidiformes; Tetranychidae. The record is from RefSeq and is a predicted model, not a curated record.
UAUUUUGGUUUUAAUUAUCAAUACCUUAACAAUUAAUCCAUUAAUUUAUUAUUAGUUUUUUAAUAAUUUUACAAAUUCUUGUCAAUUUUCCAUUGUUGUGUUAAUUGUUCCGUUGGUUGUCAUUAAGUUUGUAUUAAUUGUGUUUAAUUUUGAUAACAUUGUACAUCAGCCUGUUACACUUAUUACAGUCUUUUGUUGUUACCAGAUUCUUGGCUCGUUUCACUGUUUACAUAUCUGUGAUUACUUUACAAAAUCUUGAUCAAGUGUUGCUUUUGUUUAUUGUGUUUAAUUAAAUAGGCAAAAAAGCAAAAAAAAUGAGACAACUUUGUUAUGAACUUGAUUUGAUAAAGAAAUAACCUUAAAAAAGUUGAAUAAAAGAGAUGUUUUUUUAACAGUUUUGAAAGCAGCUAAAAAACAAGCAACAUUUAUGUAAUUAAUCAUGAGUUGGAUCAACGCUUUUUCAUCCUGCGAGCUUCUUCCUCUCCCUUUCACCCCCUUUUCAUGUGAUUAUCUUAAAAACACAAGACCAAUGUUACAUAUUAUUGUUGAGCUCAUAUCAAAUUAUCAUUAUUUACUUCCGUUGCUUCUUGUAUCAAAGCUUCUUGUUGUUCUCAUCAUCACCAUCACCAUCUCACCAUUUUUCAAGAUUAUUUGUUUUCUUGUUCUUUAUCUUGUUCGUCUUGAUGCUCGGUCUUUCUCUCCUUCGUUGAUGAUAAAUGUAAUUUUAUAAACAUGUUACCACCAUAUCAACUCCCUCAAUGCAAAAACGUUGACCCAAAACAACAUUUAACAACAAAACUGAGCAAAUUCAAAUGAUACUUGGCGAGUUAAUUGACGCACAUCAUUCAUCAACAGUCAACUAGAAUCAUCAGGUAAAUAAAAAAAGAGACUAGGAAAAGAGCUCCUUGAAGAUAAUGAUGAUGAGAGGAAGGAGGGAGUCAGGUUGCAAGAGAUAGACAGAGGGAGUCAAUCUUGUUUGACAAGACAUCACCAUGUCAAGGUAAAUAAACCCAUGAUUAUUUUAGCCUUUUUCACUGUGCUUUAGCCAUUCCCAUUUAGCCAAAACUUUCCAGCCCAUUUUUUAACAAUCAUCAUGUAAUCAUGACUGUUAAUGACUUUUUCAAUGUAAUCAUCUUCAUAUGAGCUUGUCUCUCCCUCUCUCAGCCUCUCUCUCUCUCUCUUGCUGCUUUCACAAAAUUACAUAUAAAUGUAGGACUGAUAGUAAGGCUCAUUAGUGAGGAGCUAAAAAUGAGAUGAAUAAAAAUGAUGAUGAUGAGAGGGAAGAACAGGUAGAUAAAUUAGUGGGCCAAUCAGACUUUUUCAUUUGACAUUUCCCGUGACUUAGAUCAACCUAUCAAAAAGCGUCCAAUAGAUGAUAAGAGUCUAGCGAAAAUAUGACGAGUUGAGGAGUUGAGUAAGCGUGUCCAGUUUUUUGUUUGGUAAUGGGAAAUGGGGAAAACAUGGAUUGACCGUGUUAUCUUCCUUUCUGUCAAAUUUACGUGUCCAGAUUACCAGGGAAGAUGAAGAUGGUGAUGACGAUGACGAUGAUGAGAAAGUAAAUGAAAGAGAGUAAAAGUCGCGUGACCUUGCAUUAUAACCAGAGAGGAGAAGGAAAAAAAACCAGAAAAAAAUGACUUAAAAAUAUCCAAAUUUUUAUGUUGCGUAAAAAAAAUCUGGUUAUCUGGACAAGCUUACACAAACAUUAUUGACUUAUUCUGAUCAAAUAGAUAUGGCGAUUAAAACAUGAAGCAUAACACCUUUGAUCAAACAACGAUUACAGUUUAACAAUUUAUAAAACCAUUCAACUGUGGAUUGUGGGUUUCAUUUGAUCCUCUUAGAGAUGAGGAGACGACGAAUUAAUGACAAGAAAAUGAACUUUAUAUAAGCCAAAUCCAUCUCAUUCAAUUUGAUAUUACACUGAUUAAGGUUGAUCAAUAAAAAAUGUUUACUUGCUACUUGGGUAACAAAUUGAUUUGUAAAAUAAAUUAUUAAAGAUUGUGACCGAUAGACAAUUUAAAACAAAAUAUUGAUCGUCUUUCCCGAAACCCGUUUGUCCAAGAAAAAUUACAGGCAAAACGGAAAUCCAUGAGUAUUUAAAGGAAUGAAAAAUGAAAAAUAUGAACUUGUAAAGGCGUUUGGGAAGAAGUCAUUAACAGGGAGAAGAUAUUGGUCAAGGUUUAAAUCUAUUGACCUCAUCAUCCAAGACAAGCCGGAGGAAGGACGACCAUUGAUAGUUUUGAAAGGCGACUUGAAGGCCAAUCUCGAAGGAAACGUAACUUGUAGGAAACUAGAGCUCGGAGUAACUGUAGCUCAAUAGAGUUUACAUGUCACAACGGAUACAAGAAAUACAUGAAAAUGUUUGUCGUCAACGCAAUGGCUCUUUUUAUUGACAGAUUGAUCACCAGUAAUGAAAAAUGGGUCUUUUAUGACAAUUUCACAAGGUCAUAUGCUUGGUGACCCGGUGAACCUUCGAGGUUAACCCCUAAACCAGGACUACACCAAAAGAAGCUCUUAUUGCUCUUAUUCACUACACAACAACACUAGUUGUAUCUAAAAGCAAACGAGUCCAAAAAUUCACCAACAUUAAGUUUAAUCAACCUUUAAAUAUUUUACUAAUCCUAGGACAUUAAUGCAAUGGACAAUCAGAAUAAACCAGAAAUUCUACCUACUCUCAAAAUACCUGAUACACAGACUUUACCAUGGUCUAAUCAUUGCCAAAAGCUGAAAAAAAUGCUAUUGAGUCACGCUCAUUCAAACCCGACCUGCUCUGGUUUGUUCAGAUAAACAAGAGACCUGAUUGACUUGAUCCCAAAUACAUAAAAACCUUUACCCUCAACAUUUCCCUCUUUUUUAUGCUCUUUCAUACUUUAUUAUUUUCUCAACUUGACUCACCUCCUUAAAUUCAUGAAAACUCAAAUUUCCACUUAUGUGAUUACAUAAAGCUAUCAUGAUUCGGUGAAGCGCCUACAAGCUCAUCCUGUAAACCCCCUUUAAGCUAAUAAAAGUUACCGGCGUUUUGA